This 1384-nucleotide long non-coding RNA is filed under the name Heterocephalus glaber (naked mole-rat). Its description in RNAcentral is "lncRNA (ENSHGLG00000042497.1)". Lineage: Eukaryota; Metazoa; Chordata; Mammalia; Rodentia; Bathyergidae. The record is from RNAcentral.
GAGAAGCCCUGGGAGUCCAGAGUGGAACGGACCCAAGGGGUCUGGGGCUCAGUGUGCUCAGUGCAGAGCUCACGCCUGUGGGUGUGCACUUGGGUUGGGUUGACGUGUCCUUGACAUCCAGGGCCACUGCUGUGACUUUACCCCUCACUCAGGGAACCCAAGAAUGAGGGAAGCCAUCCAAAGGCCUGACCAGGCUGAGUCUGAAAGAUGCUACGCUGCCCCUGACUGAACUUCAGAGGUCACUGAGCUUUAAGUUCACUUCCUCUCAUGCCAGGAGCAGGCAAAGCUCUUAAUCCCAGUGGCCAUGCCCUGACGUGUCUGGAAGAGGGGUGCUGCUGGCGGGAGUCUGUCCUCGGGUGAGAUCACCCUCCCAGAGGGCCAAGUACUUGGGGUGCACUCACCGUGGCUCUGGUUUUUCUUAGGGACACCCCUGUCCCUCUCUGGGAGUCUGAAAUAGCCACAGGCAUGUGCCAUUCCCUAUCAGUUGGAGCAUGGCCAGAGUGGCCAGUGGGACAGAGCCAGGUCCUGCUGGGAGGUCAGCCUCUGCUCCGGGGUGCCUGUGGAGCAUGCAUGGUGGAGGAUGGAAGGCCAGCAGUUGGAGACCUGCACUGUGCUCCGCUCUUCUCCACCUCCAGGGGCACUAGAGGGUGGGCGCUGGGGUCCCCUCUGAGCUCUGGCUUCUCAUCCUCACAAGGUGCAUGAUGGGAGGAGCCCACAGGAUCCCUGGGAGGGGAAAGAGUCCAUCUGGAUGUGAACUACUGAAAGCUGCUUCGAUGGCAUGCUUAAUACCUGAGCAUUUUGGAUCCAUAUAACUUAGUGAGCAAUGAUGAUGGAGCAAAGCCCGUGCCUGGUGUUCGAGUUGGCCUUCGAUGGCCGCGGUGGGUCUAGAGGAGGCCGGGGCUGCAGUGUGUCUGGAACUCCUGAUCAUGGACAACUCAGUACAUUUCCAGCCUUUCUGGAGACAAACCAGCAUGGCGAGGCAGCCUGGGGACGUGAAGGACUGAUUGCCAGGACGCUGGAUGACAGAGGCGCACGGAGAAUGCACCCUGAACUUCACACUCUGUUUCCAUACAGUAGUCAAUCAAAACGCCCUAGAGAAUAGCUCAGAUGGCAGCCUUUGGCCAUUGGUCAAUCGUAAACCUUUGGAAAUUGGAAUUGAAAGAAAAUUCCCAGUCCACUGAGUGGAUUUAGAAAUUGCUCCGGCCACUUGCUUCUCAUAAGACUUUACUAAGUGUCUACAAAUUAGCAUCAUAAAAAUGAAUCAAAAAGACAAAAACAUUUGGCUUAAAAUAAAUACUAAAAAUGAAAUAAAUCAAGCAAAUUAUGCAAACCAAAGGAAUGUAAACACAAAAAUAAAACCACAAUCUUUAAAGGUCUUCAGAGC